This is a ribosomal RNA of 432 nucleotides. It matches the Rfam family "Bacterial small subunit ribosomal RNA", at positions 341 to 792 of the family's 1533-position model.
ACGGAAGGCAGCAGGGAAUAUUGGGCAAUGGGCGCAAGCCUGACCCAGCAACGCCGCGUGAAGGAUGAAGGUCUUCGGAUUGUAAACUUCUUUGAUUGGGGAAGAAUAAAUGACCUACCCAAAGAACAAGUCACGGCUAACUACGUGCCAGCAGCCGCGGUAAUACGUAGGUGACAAGCGUUAUCCGGAUUUACUGGGUGUAAAGGGCGUGUAGGCGGUUCUGUAAGUCAGAAGUGAAAUUCCCGGGCUCAACCUGGGCGCUGCUUCUGAAACUACAGAACUUGAGUACUGGAGGGGAAAGCGGAAUUCCUAGUGUAGCGGUAAAAUGCACAGAUAUUAGGAGGAACACCGGUGGCGAAGGCGGCUUUCUGGACAGUAACUGACGCUGAGGCGCGAAAGCGUGGGGAGCAAACAGGAUUAGAUACCCUGGUA